CUAUGAACGAAUUCGGAUCCGUUGCCUGUUGUCAUUACUUCAAUGAUUGAUUAAUGAAAAUUGUUGCAUUUUGUUGUCAAGAUUCGUCGUUACAGGUCCAUAUUUGCUUAAUUUUGUGUUCCAAGUAGCGAGAACCAGCUUGCUAGCUUCUGGGCAACAGAAGAAAACGAAAAAAUUCCGUCUUUCCCAAUUUUCUUUUUGUUUAACGGAUAAUAAUUCAAGCAAUGCAAUCGUGUUCUGCUUAAAAAUUUCUGAUUUUGCUUUAAACUAUAGAGAGAUCAGGUAACGAUGAUGAUAAUGGAGAGUGCAUUAGUGGGCAAGUUUUGUAAGCCAUGCUGCUUCCAUUCCACGAAAGGAGUGCUGCCGAAAAGGAAGGGAAUGCCUACCCACCACCUCUUUUCCUCUGAAUUCAACAUUCUGUCACUCCUUACUUCGACCCAUCUCUCUGUACAGGCGGGCGCCUUGAAACAAAAAAGUUCUGCUGGUUUUGUUUCGAAAGAACUUGGUUGGCCUUCUCCUGAUGAUGAAAUCCCAUUCUGGAAGAGGGAUUUCCCUUCAUGGGAUGCAAGCCCUGAAGUUCCAACUGACAUUGUCAAAGAUUCCGAUCUCUUGCACGUAGUUCACGUUACAGCUGAGAUGGCACCCAUAGCCAAAGUUGGUGGCCUUGGUGAUGUUGUGACUGGACUUGCCCGUGCUUGCCUGUUGCGAGGGCAUACCGUGGAUAUAAUGCUUCCUUUCUACGAGUGCAUUCAAAAGCAGCAAAUUAAUGACUUGGCAUUAAUCACUACAUAUAAUUCAUAUCACGAUGGGAACUGGAUCCCAACUAAUGCAUAUCGAGGAGUAGUUUCAGGGAUUCCGGUGAUAUUUAUUGAGCCAUCAAAUGAAUUCUUCAAGGGGCAACAUGUGUAUGGUGGUUCAUACAACGAGUUGGAGGCUUAUUUGUUUUUUAGCCGUGCUUGUCUUGAAUGGAUGCAGGUUGCAGGAAUUCAACCUGACAUUAUUCAUGUCCAUGAGUGGCAGACUGGUGCUUUGCCUCUGCUUUACUGGGAUAUGUAUCAGAAUCUUUCACUUAAGAAGCCUCGAGUCAUAUUGACUAUACACAAUAUGGAGCAUUAUGGAGAGUGCCGACAAGAGCAACUUAGCAAGUGUGGUCUUGAUGGGUCUUUGUAUGCAACUAUUGAUAAGGCAGUUGAUGAUCGAACAGUUGGCCAUAAUCCUGAGAGGUUAAGCUUAUUGAAAGGUGGAAUAGUGUACAGCAAUGCAGUAGUUACAGUCUCUCCAACAUAUCUCAAGGAAACACUCUGCUCUGGAUGGUUGGCAAGCACCUUGAUAACACAUCGUGAUAAGUACUUUGGUAUUUUAAAUGGGAUAGACACUGCAAUGUGGAAUCCUGCUGCUGAUGUUUUCCUGCCUGCCAAGUUCAAUGCUCAAAAUAUUGAGGGCAAGAAGUUAUGCAAACACUAUGUACAAAGGGGACUUGGUAUGGCUUCUGAAAGCAUUGAAGCUGGUAACUAUGUGCUGGAUAAAAUGCUUAAGAUCCCCUUGGUUGUUUGUAUAAGUAGACUAGUUCCUCAGAAGGGUCUUCAUUUGAUUAUCCAUGCAAUUAAGUACGUUGAACAACUUGGUGGGCAGAUGGUUGUCCUUGGAAAAGCUUCAGAUGGCCGGGUUGAAGGAGAAUUCAAACAUCUUGCAGAGUUGCAUAGUCAUGGUCCCAGAGUCCGUAUCCUAUUAAUGUAUAGUUGUAUUGGUUCCUAUGCAUACAAACUAGCAUACCUUUAAUAUCAUGAAAUAGCGUGCAGAGGACAUUAGUUGGUUGCUGACUGUUAUCAUUUUUACCAGUGAGGAGCUCUCCCACUUGCUUUAUGCUGCAGCAGACAUGGUAUUAGUUCCAUCCAUAUUUGAACCAUGUGGACUUUCCCAAAUGAUUGGAAUGCGAUAUGGUGCGGUACCGGUGGUUAGAAAGACUGGUGGCCUUGCAGACACUGUCUUUGACAUGGAUGACCAGUCAAACCGUGAGACAGCUAAUGGGUAUUAUGAUUCUUUUUUUGUUUUCGUGGAAUGUGUAUUGUGAUUUUUAAUUAUGAGUUUUACUUCUUUAUCUUUUAGCCUUGUCCUUAUAUUUUUAAUAAUGCACGAGUUCUAAGUUUAUGUUGAUGUAUAUCUAUUUUCAGCAGUAUCAAUGAUUACCCAUGGUCAUCAGGUGUUUACCUCUGUUCAGCAUGUAUAGAUGAUAGCUAUGUCAUUAUAUUAUUACCCUAAGAAUAGAUUUAUUACUUAGAUUGAAAAAGGAAAAAGGAAAAAGGUUGGCACCUGUCUGACUGAUAGAUCCUUCCAAGGAUCAUGUGACCAUUAAAGUCAAUUUGUGCUAAUUCUUGAUAAUGGUGCUACUUCAGGUGCCAUUGACAUAUCAAAAGUUGGGUUCUACCAUUUGGAUGUGUCGCAUGCAUACACUGUCAUGAAGCCUCACAUAUUUGUGGCCUCUUUGAAGCUAUAUUAUAAUAUGUUGUCAAGUUCUUGGUUACUAUGAAGUAGUGUGGCUUGCAAGAUGAUAAACUCCUCUGGCCCUUGACGGAGAAUUUUAUGUGCAUUUGGUUUCUUUGAAAUCCUUGAAUACAAUCUUUAACAGUUGUUUUAGAUGUUAUAUUAACUGAUGGUCAUCAUCUGUAUGAAUAAGCAUUGUGCAAACUGACAUUGGUUAACACCCUUCUCAUUGUAAUUCAAUGUUCACAAAGUGAGUUUCAUUUAUAUUUAUGUUUUAAGCUAUGAGGUCUAUAUUUGAAAAGACACAUGUGAAGACUUUAUGUACAUUUAUUUUUAGUGUAUGAAGACAUCCUUCACACAUUUUGGGUUGAACGUAUCCUUGUUAAUCAUUUCAAGCAUUCUUUUCAAUGUUUUAAAAAAAAGUCAUAAUUUUCUUCUGCAACUAAGUUUUCGGGCAAUUAGCCAAACAGUUUCCUAACAUUGCCGAAGUAGUUGGUUUUAGGUCAAUGCAUUGAUGGAGUGCACAUGCAUACAUGUGUUUCUGCAUCUGUCCAUAUAAAAAGUUUUAACUGCUUCUGCCUCAUAAUCUGAUGAGUAGCUAUUGUCCGUUUAUGUUUCACAUUAUUGGAUUGAAGGUCAAUAACAGUCAAUUGCGUUAUUGUAAAAUGAAAUAUUAUAAUUGUGUUUAUUCAGGUUUGUUUUUGAAGGAAUUGAUGAAGGAUCCUUAAAUUGGGCUCUAGAUCGUGCAUUUGCUUACUAUAGAGACAAACCAGAUGAGUGGAAUGGCAUUGUACAGAAGGUUAUGGAAAUUGACAAUAGCUGGAACAAAACAGCUGGGAAAUAUAUUGAAAUUUAUGACUCAGUUAGGGUGAGAUCCUGAGGUUUUCCCGGUCAAAUCUGCUACAUGCAUCAAAGCCUCAUAUUUAUGCUGUUUUCUCCUUAAUGCAAGUUCAAGUGCUGGAUUUUAUGUGAACAUUAUGUGUCCCUUGCUCACUUCCCCUUCCAAUUUUGAAUUUGCAAUGUUUAUUUUUUGUUUUAGUUCUACUGAGCUUGGAAUUUAUGCUCUUUACCUCCUUUUCAUAAACUAGCUCCCUAAUAAUUCUCCUAUUAGCUUAGCUUAUGCAAUAUUGUAUAUAAAAUUAUUGAGACUUGCCGAUAACCAGG
RNAcentral lists this unclassified non-coding RNA (3645 nucleotides) under Hevea brasiliensis (rubber tree). Lineage: Eukaryota; Viridiplantae; Streptophyta; Magnoliopsida; Malpighiales; Euphorbiaceae. The record is from RNAcentral.